UAAAAAGUUUCAACUGGGAUUAGAUACCCCACUAUGCCCGGCCUCAAACUUUGAUUAAUUACAAUUUUAUUCGCCAGGGGACUACGAGCGUCAGCUUAAAACCCAAAGGACUUGGCGGUGCCCUACACCUCCUAGAGGAGCCUGUUCUGUAAUCGAUAAUCCACGAUAUACCUCACCGUUUCUUGCCAAAACCGCCUAUAUACCGCCGUCUCCAACUUACCCUAUGAAGGAUAUACAGUAAGUUUAAAGAUCACCCAUCAGAACGUCAGGUCAAGGUGUAGCGAAUGAAACGGGAAGAAAUGGGCUACAUUUUCUAUUUUAGAUCACACGGACAAUCAGUAUGAAACCUGAUUAUGAAGGAGGAUUUAGCAGUAAAAAGAAAUCAGCAAGUUCUUUUUAAGUCGGACCUAGGGCGCGUACACACCGCCCGUCACCCU
Molecule: ribosomal RNA, 437 nt
Filed under: Oreolalax sterlingae
Lineage: Eukaryota; Metazoa; Chordata; Amphibia; Anura; Megophryidae
Description: partial 12S ribosomal RNA
Rfam family: Bacterial small subunit ribosomal RNA
Source: RNAcentral